CCUACGGGUGGCUGCAGUGGGGGAUAUUGCACAAUGGGAGAAACCCUGAUGCAGCGACGCCGCGUGUGGGAAGACGGUCCUCUGGGUUGUAAACCACUGUCCCCAGGGACGAAGAUGACGGUACCUGGGUAGGAAGCUCCGGCUAACUACGUACCAGCAGCCGCGGUAAUACGUAGGGAGCGAGCGUUGUCCGGAAUUCCUGGGUGUAAAGGGAGCGUAGGCGGGACUGCAAGUUGGGUGUCAAAUCUACCGGCUCAACCGGUAGCCGCACUUAAAACUGGAGUUCUUGAGUGAAGUAGAGGUAGGCGGAAUGCCGAGUGUAGCGGUGAAAUGCGUAGAUAUUAGGAGGAACACCAGUGGCGAAGGCGGCCUGCUGG
Molecule: ribosomal RNA, 377 nt
Filed under: uncultured bacterium
Lineage: Bacteria
Description: partial 16S ribosomal RNA
Rfam family: Bacterial small subunit ribosomal RNA
Source: RNAcentral